Molecule: long non-coding RNA, 610 nt
Filed under: Salmo salar (Atlantic salmon)
Lineage: Eukaryota; Metazoa; Chordata; Actinopteri; Salmoniformes; Salmonidae
Description: lncRNA (ENSSSAG00000091639.1)
Source: RNAcentral
CGGUACAGAGUCAAUGUGGAGGCUAUAUACAGGGGGUACCGGUACAGAGUCAAUGUGGAGGCUAUUUACAGGGGGUACCGGUACAGAGUCAAUGUGGAGGCUAUAUACAGGGGGUACCGGUACAGAGUCAAUGUGGAGGCUAUAUACAGGGGGUACCGGUAAAGAGUCAAUGUGGAGGCUAUAUACAGGGGGGUACCGUACAGAGUCAAUGUGGAGGCUAUAUACAGGGGGUACCGGUACAGAGUCAAUGUGGAGGCUAUAUACAGGGGGUACCGGUACAGAUUCAAUGUGGAGGCUAUAUACAGGGGGGUACCGGUACAGAGUGAAUGUGGAGGCUAUAUACAGGGGGUACCGGUAAAGAGUCAAUGUGGAGGCUAUAUACAGGGGGUACCAGUACAGAGUCAAUGUGGAGGCUAUAUACAGGGGUUACGGUACAGAGUCAAUGUGGAGGCUAUAUACAGGGGGGUACCGGUACAGAGUCAAUGUGGAGGCUAUAUACAGGGGGUACCGGUACAGAGUCAAUGUGGAGGCUAUAUACAGGGGGUACCGGUACAGAGUCAAUGUGGAGUAUAGAUACAGGGGGGUGCCAGUACAGAGUCAAUGUGGAGGC